UACGUAGGGAGCGAGCGUUGUCCGGAAUUACUGGGUGUAAAGGGAGCGUAGGCGGGACGGCAAGUCAGAUGUGAAAACUGAGGGCUCAACCUUCAGACUGCAUUUGAAACUGCUGUUCUUGAGUGAAGUAGAGGUAAGCGGAAUUCCUAGUGUAGCGGUGAAAUGCGUAGAUAUUAGGAGGAACACCAGCGGCGAAGGCGGCUUGCUGGACCGUGAAUGACGCUGAGGCUCGAAAGCGUGGGGAGCAAACAGG
Molecule: ribosomal RNA, 253 nt
Filed under: uncultured Ruminococcus sp.
Lineage: Bacteria; Bacillati; Bacillota; Clostridia; Eubacteriales; Oscillospiraceae
Description: partial 16S ribosomal RNA
Rfam family: Bacterial small subunit ribosomal RNA
Source: RNAcentral